Molecule: long non-coding RNA, 1484 nt
Filed under: Homo sapiens (human)
Lineage: Eukaryota; Metazoa; Chordata; Mammalia; Primates; Hominidae
Description: long independently transcribed non-coding RNA 928, transcript variant 2 (LINC00928)
Source: RNAcentral
GGGUGAUUCUUUUGGACUAAUUCAUGUGGCUGCAAUUGGAGCUGGAUGAUCUAAAUGGUCUCACUCCUAGGUCUGGCUGUUGAUGUUGGCUGUUGGCUGAGCCAGGGGCCGCCAGCAGGCUAGCAUGGGCUCUUCACUCAGCAGCAGGGUUCCCCAAGAGGACAAGCCCAACACACAUGUGCUUUUCAAGCCUGUGAUUAUCAGGCUUGAAAUACUGCAACAUCUGCUGCAAUCAGUAACAACCACAUAAGAAAGCAAUGACAAGUUAUGAUUACUGCUCUGGAGGGAGUGAGCAGGAUGCUGUGAGAGAGGGUUACUAUUCCAAGUGGCACCUGGGCCAGCAGCAUUGGCAUCACCUGGGACUUGUGAGAAAUCCAGCAUCUCAGGCUCCACUGCAGGUCUCCUAAAUCAGAAUCUACAGUUUAACAAGAUCCCCAGCAGAUGUGUGUGUAAGGUUUAUAGAGAGAAGAUUCAAGCCUCAACAGGCCAGCUCAAGAACCUGUUGAGAGGAGCACCUAGCAUAAGACCUGGCUUGUGACAGCUGCUCGUGGCAUGCCCUUCUCCACUAAGCCAACUUGUUAAACCUCUUCACGGCUGAGAUCAUGCUGCUUUCUUCUUCAGAUCUGCCACCCUCUAGCUGGGUGACUUUUAGACAAGUGAUCGACCUCUCUGAGCCAGAGUUUCUACCUUGUAAAAAAAAAAAAAUCCCUUCCUGCAUGGUCAGCUGUCAUGAAAAGGACACAUGGUGAUGGGCAGACAAAGACAAGGCUUAGCUUCGUGUUUGACUCCUAGGAGCGCCCAGUUCAUGGAGGCUGCUGCUGUCACUAAUCUGUUUCCAUCUUCCCCUGGGAAUCCUGAGGUUUAUCUGUGAGCCUUUGGACUGCUGUAUGGACAACAUACUCUGCAGUAGCAUGAAGAAGUGAGUGAAGACCCUCCCUUGAACCGUUUGCCCUGAAAGAACAGAAGUCACAUCUUGAUAUCUCAGUGCCUUUACAGUGCCAGGGAUGGGGUAGGUGCUGAGCGCCUGGUAUGUGCUCACCCUAUGCUGUACAACACACAGAAAGCCCCACAGGGUUUGAACUGUAAUUAGGUAGAGGGUGUGUGGGACUCGCCUUGGGUCUCUGACUUUGGCUUCUGCUCCCGGCCUUGGAUAGGCUGAUAUUUUCUAGUAGAUAUCAGAGACUCCGGUUGAUAGCACCACAAUGGCUUUUCUCCCAACUUUUUGUUUUACGUAUUAUCAAGCCAACAGAGAAGUUGCAAGAAUAGCACAAUGAACAUGCAUAUACCCUUCACCUGGAUUCACCACUUUUGUUUCAUUUCUCUCAGUAUAUAUGUUUGUGUGUGUUGGAGACAUAUGACAUUUUACCUCGAAACCAGGCAUCUCCUAGGAAAAAGAGCAGCCUCCCAUAUAACAACAAUACAAUGAUAACCCUUAAAAAACUUUGCAUUAAUAAAUCCCAUUAGUUAAUAAAAAAAAAAAAAAA